AUUUGGCUGUGAAGAUACAAUGACAGCUCUAAAAUGCCAGUUCUGCUUCUGAAAAUUCGUGAUUGAUGAGCUGAUCAAGAACUGAGCCUUGU
This is a small nucleolar RNA of Nymphaea colorata (pocket water lily), 92 nucleotides long. The record is from RefSeq and is a predicted model, not a curated record. NCBI's taxonomy places the organism in Eukaryota, Viridiplantae, Streptophyta, Magnoliopsida, Nymphaeales, Nymphaeaceae.